UCCAGCAGGAGUCAGCUCUCCAGACAGCAUCAUGCCUGUGAGGGUAUGAUGGGAGAGGAAUGCCCUGUCUUCUUCCUCCAGUUGCCCCCUUCACACUUCUGGUGACAUGUGGCACUGGUGCAGGGCAGAACUGUGCUUCCAUGAGAGUGAGCAAAGCAUCACUUUGAUUGCUUUGUUCUAGUGAAUGAGCAGACACA
This is a small nucleolar RNA of Myotis daubentonii (Daubenton's bat), 197 nucleotides long. RefSeq annotates it as small nucleolar RNA SNORA74. NCBI's taxonomy places the organism in Eukaryota, Metazoa, Chordata, Mammalia, Chiroptera, Vespertilionidae. The record is from RefSeq and is a predicted model, not a curated record.